GACGAACGCUGGCGGCGUGCUUAACACAUGCAAGUCGAACGGAAAGGCCCUGCUUUUGUGGGGUGCUCGAGUGGCGAACGGGUGAGUAACACGUGAGUAACCUGCCCUUGACUUUGGGAUAACUUCAGGAAACUGGGGCUAAUACCGGAUAGGAGCUCCUGCUGCAUGGUGGGGGUUGGAAAGUUUCGGCGGUUGGGGAUGGACUCGCGGCUUCUCAGCUUGUUGGUGGGGUAGUGGCUUACCAAGGCUUUGACGGGUAGCCGGCCUGAGAGGGUGGCCGGACCCGUUGGGACGGGAAUGAGGCCCGGACUCCUACGGGAGGCGGGGGUGGAGAGGAGUGUACAGCGGGCGGGAGCCUGGUGCGGCGACGCCGCGUGGGGGAUAACGGGCUUCGGGUUGGAAACCGCUUUUGUCUGUGACGAAGCGUGAGUGACGGUAAUGGGUAAAGAAGCACCGGCUAACUACGUG
Molecule: ribosomal RNA, 468 nt
Filed under: uncultured bacterium
Lineage: Bacteria
Description: partial 16S ribosomal RNA
Rfam family: Bacterial small subunit ribosomal RNA
Source: RNAcentral